UACGGGGGGGCAAGGCGUUGUUCGGAAUUACUGGGCGUAAAGGGCGCGUAGGCGGCCUGCUAAGCUCGGAUGUGAAAUCCCAUCGGGCUCAACCUGAUGAUGCCGCUGGAAACGUGUCUGGCUUGAGUCCGGAAGGGGCGAGUGGAAUUCUCGGUGUAGCGGUGAAAUGCGUAGAUAUCGAGAGGAACACCUGCGGCGAAGGCGGGUUGCUGGGCUGAUACUGACGCUGGAGGCGCGAAAGCCAGGGGAGCGAACGGG
This 258-nucleotide ribosomal RNA is filed under the name uncultured bacterium. Its description in RNAcentral is "partial 16S ribosomal RNA". It matches the Rfam family "Bacterial small subunit ribosomal RNA", at positions 524 to 776 of the family's 1533-position model. The record is from RNAcentral.